CCUACGGGAGGCAGCAGUGAGGAAUAUUGGUCAAUGGGCGCGAGCCUGAACCAGCCAAGUCGCGUGAGGGAAGACGGUCCUAUGGAUUGUAAACCUCUUUUGUCGGGGAGCAAAAGACGCCACGCGUGGCGUUCCGAGAGUACCCGAAGAAAAAGCAUCGGCUAACUCCGUGCCAGCAGCCGCGGUAAUACGGAGGAUGCGAGCGUUAUCCGGAUUUAUUGGGUUUAAAGGGUGCGCAGGCGGAAGAUCAAGUUAGCGGUAAAAUUGAGAGGCUCAACCUGUUUGAGACGUUGAAACUGGUUUUUGUGAGUGAGUGUGAAGUAGGCGGAAUUCGGGGUGUAGCGGUGAAAUGCAUAGAUAUCACGAAGAACUACGAGUGCGGAGGCAGCAUAACGGCGCUCAACUGAUGCUGAUGAACGAAAGUGUGGGUAUCGAACAGGAUUAGAGACCCUGGUAGUC
Molecule: ribosomal RNA, 459 nt
Filed under: uncultured bacterium
Lineage: Bacteria
Description: partial 16S ribosomal RNA
Rfam family: Bacterial small subunit ribosomal RNA
Source: RNAcentral